AACGCGAAGAACCUUACCCGGGCUCGAACGGCAGAUGAAGAGAUCCAGAGAUGGUGACGUCCUUCGGGACAUCUGUCGAGGUGCUGCAUGGUUGUCGUCAGCUCGUGCCGUGAGGUGUCGGCUUAAGUGCCAUAACGAGCGCAACCCUUGUCGUCAGUUGCCAUCAGGUAAAGCUGGGGACUCUGGCGAGACUGCCACCGCAAGGUGUGAGGAAGGGGGGGAUGACGUCAAAUCAGCACGGCCCUUACGUCCGGGGCGACACACGUGUUACAAUGGUGGGUACAGAGGGACGCUACCUGGUGACAGGAUGCAAAUCUCGAAAACCCAUCCCAGUUCGGACUGGAGUCUGCAACUCGACUCCACGAAGUUGGAUUCGCUAGUAAUCGCGCAUCAGCCAUGGCGCGGUGAAUACGUUCCCGGGUCUUGUACACACGC
Molecule: ribosomal RNA, 435 nt
Filed under: uncultured Prevotella sp.
Lineage: Bacteria; Pseudomonadati; Bacteroidota; Bacteroidia; Bacteroidales; Prevotellaceae
Description: bacterial SSU rRNA
Rfam family: Bacterial small subunit ribosomal RNA
Source: RNAcentral